GAUGAACGCUGGCGGCGUGCCUAAUACAUGCAAGUCGAGCGAACAGACGAGGAGCUUGCUCCUCUGACGUUAGCGGCGGACGGGUGAGUAACACGUGGAUCACCUACCUAUAAGACUGGGAUAACUUCGGGAAACCGGAGCUAAUACCGGAUCAUAUAUUGAACCGCAUGGUUCAAUAGUGAAAGACGGUUUUGCUGUCUCUUAUAGAUGGAUCCGCGCCGCAUUAGCUAGUUGGUAAGGUAACGGCUUACCAAGGCAACGAUGCGUAGCCGACCUGAGAGGGUGAUCGGCCACACUGGAACUGAGACACGGUCCAGACUCCUACGGGAGGCAGCAGUAGGGAAUCUUCCGCAAUGGGCGAAAGCUUGACGGAGCAACGCCGCGUGAGUGAUGAAGGUCUUCGGAUCGUAAAACUCUGUUAUUAGGGAAGAAAAAAUGUGUAAGUAACUAUGCACGUCUUGACGGUACCUAAUCAGAAAGCCACGGCUAACUACGUG
This 497-nucleotide ribosomal RNA is filed under the name uncultured bacterium. Its description in RNAcentral is "partial 16S ribosomal RNA". It matches the Rfam family "Bacterial small subunit ribosomal RNA", at positions 28 to 507 of the family's 1533-position model. The record is from RNAcentral.